Molecule: ribosomal RNA, 119 nt
Filed under: Vigna angularis (adzuki bean)
Lineage: Eukaryota; Viridiplantae; Streptophyta; Magnoliopsida; Fabales; Fabaceae
Source: RNAcentral
AAGUGCGAUCAUACCAACACUAAUGCACCGGAUCCCAUCAGAACUCCGCAGCUAAGCGUGCUUGGGCGAGAGUAGUACUAGGAUGGUUGACCUCCUGGGAAGUCCUCGUGUAGCACCUC